Molecule: long non-coding RNA, 222 nt
Filed under: Panax ginseng (ginseng)
Lineage: Eukaryota; Viridiplantae; Streptophyta; Magnoliopsida; Apiales; Araliaceae
Description: long non-coding RNA (PGIN_LNC004067)
Source: RNAcentral
CCUUGCUACAUGUUGGGGUUAAUGUUGAUUACAAAGAUUUUAGAUGACUUUGUUAAAGACUAUCAGCUGAAUUGAAGGACAGAUUGAUGAGAUCUGUUGGCUCUUUUUGUACAAAGGUCAUGCUUGCAUUCUAGCAAAAAUUACAUGUUUGCUUAUUUACUUGUACAUAUUUAUCUUGAAGAGGAAAAACUAUAAGAACAAUAAACUUCAUGGACAUCAAGU